CUGGUGACUGAGGAGCUGGUCUUGUCAAAGUGUCUGGGUUUGCUGCUGGCAGAGGGGUCACAACACACAGUUGCUUUGUCUUUCCCUUCUUCACUUCCUGUAGAUGGCUGAACUGCUGCUGUAUCUGUUGAUGCGCUGCUUGUUGCAUUGACUGCUGUUGCUGUGGUUGAUUGAACAUGACACCCUGUAGAUUGGCUCCUGGUGCUCCCAGUGCUGCCAUGUCAUCAGGAGUGUGAAUGUUCUGAACAGGUGUGGUGUCUCUGUCACCCCAUUCACCACCUGUCGCACCAGGUGACUCCUCAUCAUCAGGCCUCUCCACCUCUAUAACCCCACCAGGUGACUCCUCAUCAUCAGGCCUCUCCACCUCUAUAACCCCACCAGGUGACUCCUCAUCAUCAGGCCUCUCCACCUCUAUAACCCCACCAGGUGACUCAUCAUCAGGCUUCUCCAUGACUAGAACCCCACCAGGUGACUCCUCAUCAUCAGGCUUCUCCAUCACUAGAACCCCACCAGGUGACUCCUCAUCAUCAGGCUUCUCCAUCACUAGAACCCCACCAGGUGACUCCUCAUCAUCAGGCUUCUCCAUCACUAGAACCCCACCGGGAGGGGAAUCCCACCACCUAAAGUUGGACGGGCUGCAGCAGUCUUCUAAAGUCUGACAGGGGAAACAUAAUAUAGUUUUUACAGUUUCUCAAAGUAAGGUAAAAAAAACAUUGUUAGUGGUUUACCCUCACAAAAAAUAAAAUGAGUGGAUGAUCAACCAACACUAAGAACAGAUCUCAUAUUAGUCACAUGUUGUUCUCCUUACGCUGGCUGUCAGUGGUAUUGUUUUAUA
Molecule: long non-coding RNA, 835 nt
Organism: Oncorhynchus tshawytscha (Chinook salmon)
Lineage: Eukaryota; Metazoa; Chordata; Actinopteri; Salmoniformes; Salmonidae
Source: Ensembl